Molecule: RNA transcript, 1453 nt
Organism: Myripristis murdjan (pinecone soldierfish)
Lineage: Eukaryota; Metazoa; Chordata; Actinopteri; Holocentriformes; Holocentridae
Gene: atp5if1a
Gene name: ATP synthase inhibitory factor subunit 1a
Exons: 4
Source: RefSeq, a predicted model, not a curated record
CUGCAGCGCGUCUGCACCAUUGGCCCUCGUCGGCCCUCGUCGGCCGACCGGAAGCCGUCGCCUCAUGAGGAGAGAAACGGAAAUGAGCAGAGUAGGCAGUGGACACAGUACAGAGGGCGCAAACAUAACCUUAUUUUGAAGUUUCAGUUAUCAUUUCAGAGGAUUUUUGUCCCUGCUGGGAAACAGGGGCCUGCAUCUCACCGCGUCUGUCCGUCUGGCUGUCGGCGCGUCGGUCGGCGGGUCUGUGCCUGGAGGCAGAUUGGGGCCACAGCAGAAUAUCUCCAUAUUUAUCCGGACAAUCGCCGUGAUAUUUGGUGACAACAUUCAUGCCAGCUAGAGGAUGAAACCUGGCAAUUUUGGUGACCCAGUGACCUUCCCUGCAGCGCCACCAGCGGGGCAUGUGCGCUCUGGAUAAUGCGCUAUUUUUUUUUUUUAAUUAAUAUUAAUAUUAUUAUUACUGUAAUUGCAAGGACAUGGCCAACUGGACUCAGGAGGCCGAGGAGCACCUGGUUACCAUGGUGGAGGAGAGGCCGGCUCUGUACGACAUCAGGGAGAGUUUGUACACCAACAAAGUGGUCAAAGCGGACCUGUGGCGGCAGAUUGAGAAUAAACUUGUGAUAUCAGAGAAAUUUCUCAAAAAGCGGUGGGAGUCUCUGCGCACUCAAUACACCCGGUACAAGAAACUUCCUCCCUCUGGGAGUGGAGGAGCACAGAGGACCGGCAGGCAGCAGUGGAUCCUGACCCGCCUGCAGUUUUUAGAGCCCCACACCAAAAAGAAGGACACCACUCACAACCCUGCUCCCAUGAUUUGGGGGCACCUGUUGAUUUAGAUACCCGGGCAGACGACACCAGCAGCUUUAAUAUCGAGGUGCUAUCGAGUCCGCCCCACUGUGAGACCCGGUCGAGCACCCCUGUAGAGGAACCUUGCGUCUCUGAGGCGGCGCCAGUACCUUACGCCCACAUGGCCACAUCCAGUAUCUCUAGAUCUGAGCCUACAACAAUACCUUUCAGUGAGGAGCCUUGCCAAACCACCAAGAGAGAUUCAAGCACCUCUGUGCCUCCGACAAAGCGGCGCAGGAAGAUGCUGGAAGAGCCUGUCAGUUGGGAAUCCACAAACUUGAUGCGCAUUAUUGGUAAAACCCUGGAGAGAUUAGGUUCCCGGGAAGAGCAAGACGAUGAGAUCUCUGCCUACUGCAAGAACAUUGAGUGCAGAAUGCGGAAAUUGCCCCGACACGUACUGCCACAUUUUGAGCACGAGGUGGACAUCUGCCUUUACAAAUACCUGGUGGGCCAGAGUCCAGGUAAUCACUCAGGCCCAGGAUGCACUGCAGACCAGCCCGAGGUGUUUCCAUGCUCCCUGCCCCACAUGUGCCUGAACAGGGGUAAAUGAUCAGCUUGGGGAGCUGGGGAAGGGAGCAGGGAAAGGUGGAGGUGGAGGAGGCUCGGUGAGGGA